CUUCACCGAGCCGAGGUAGAGCGGCCGGUCGGCCGGCCGCUCCUGCCCGUAGGCGGCGAGCAGGGCCUGCGCCUC
Frankia sp. is the source of this 75-nucleotide non-coding RNA. It matches the Rfam family "ASpks TB sRNA". NCBI's taxonomy places the organism in Bacteria, Bacillati, Actinomycetota, Actinomycetes, Frankiales, Frankiaceae. The record is from Rfam.